UUUCAUAUGUGGGAGCCACUAGGCCUCCUCUUUUCAAGGGCUAAGAGAAAUUUAAAUCUCUCCCGAUUACUGACCCUGAAAACCACACUGCGUUUCUGGCAGAUGAUGUUAAAAAAGUGUGGUGGAACUCCCUCUGGUACAAUUGAGUGCAGACCCUUGUCUUAAGGAAAUACCAUUUGUCAGGGGUGGGAGAGAAAUAUGGAUCUCUGUUUCUAUUUAGAAAUCAUGGCAACAAGUAGAACAUUUUCUGUCCACAUCCAGAGGGAGAAGCCACAGGAGGAAAUACCUUGAAGCUUGUGGGACGUGCCUGGUGAGGAUAUUCCGUUCAAUGACACAUCUGUCAUCUUUACAUGUUGACCAGCCAACAAGAACUUGCUGAGUACAGGACGGACAAGGUUGGCAUUCCGCUGGCUCUACAGGGGAUCAACGGGAAGGAUGGAGAGAACAGCUUGUGUGCCAGGUGGGGAGACGGACAUGGACCAAUACUGAAUAACCUACAACACAAUGGUUUAGAAAGAGAAUUCAAGGUAUGUGGACUGGACUUAAGCCAUGGCUAAGCUCACAAAAGACUUCCUGGAAGAAGAUGUACAGCCUAUGGUGAGGCACAACCUCCCUGUCUGUACUGCGAGUUCUUGGGUCAAGACACAACUCACCUCUACCUAUCUGUACACUGACAGCAAAGUCCUUUUAAUAUCAAACAGAAAUGAAUGACAAUGAUGGUGACCACAUUUCCCAAACCCACGAACGGUCAGGUUUCUGUGGCGCCUCUCCAUUUGAGAGGCUCUCUGAAAGCCAGUCGUGGAUAGCAUGCUUCCAUGUGUAUGUAAAUAACAAGACAUAUGGAACAUGUUAAAUCGGAAGACUGUUCCAUAUCCAGAAUUACUAAUGUACUAAUAAUCCUUUGAAUCCUCAAAAAAAACAAAAAACACUAUACUUUUAUGCCAAAGUAGAUGGAAUGGGUGACUAGAGAUAAAGCUGAAGAAAUUUCAGAUUUAAAAUCUGACUGGCCCAUUCACCAGCAGACUUAGGAAAGUGCUAACUGCGAAGCUGGCCAGUAUUCAGCUCGACAGUCCUAAAAACAAACGGAACCCUUUGGAGCUGGAAAGUGGUAUCAUAAAAGCCGCCGAAUGCGGUGCUUCUAGAGCGGCCCACCAGGAAAAUAUGACAGUUUACAUCUUUACGUAGCCUAAUGUACAGUGGGAAUAUAAAUAUCUCGUUCAGGCCCCAGUCACUGCCUGGAAUGGGAUGCUUUCCUUAACAAGAAGCAGAUGAGAGGCCCAGAAGCCAAACCUCUUAUUCUGUUGGUCUGAAGGCUGUAGUUUUCAGUCGGUCAGCACAGAGAGUGGCAAUUCAGGGAGGGAAGGCACUGCAUGUGUUUCCUUGGUCAGGACAAAAGCUUGUAGCUCUUUUCCUGGGCCCCCUGAGGCUCUCGUACGUUGAGUGUCCCGCAUGUGGUCAGCGGCUUUACCCACCUUUCCUUGGGCCACCAGCUCCCUCUGGGCUGCUGAGGCCGAUUUGACCAGGGCGCUUGUGGCAGCAGCAAUGGAUUUAGCAGCUUCCAAGAUCUGUUCCUCAAAGUCCAGGGUCUCAUCCGCUUGCUAUAACCAAAAGAAAACAGCAUCACAUUCAAUUCAUAUCCACAAAGGGCUCUUUCUUCCAAACUACUUACUGCCGGGUCACCUGGCUCUUCACCUGCCUAUUGUUUUUUGUUGACAAACCACACCUGAAAUGGGAUGGUUCCUUAACAAGAAGCAGAUGACAGGUCCCCUGUGCAAACUUUCAGGACUCUUAAGUCAGUUUGGUUAAGCCACCCUCGGGUCACAGUGUGGAAGAUGUGGCUGGUACCUUUCAGGCAUUAAGAGACAAUGGCCAGGCACAGCAAUAGUUUUCUUUGUAUGUGUGGUACAAUAUAUAUAACACAAAAUUUACCCUUUUACCUAAUGUUAAGUAUUAAUACACUGACACUGUUGUACAACAGCAAUACCAGGAUAGAAAGGUCAGGAUGCCUCUCCACCUGCAGCCCCUUCCCCCUAACUCCAAAAGGAAAAAGCCGUUAGCUUGACAUCCCACGGAAAUUUGCAGACAGACUCAUUUUCUGGAACAAAAUCUUUAAAGAUAUACACUCACUGUGAACAAAAUACACUCAAAUGGUUUUAGCAACAUCAAUAACUGAAACCAAAAUAAUAAAAUCAAAACAGUAGAUCAUAGCACUUACUCUCUUCUAGAGCCUAAGCCUCAAAAAUGGACUUUAAAAAAAAAAAAAGGAAAGAUGGCUACCAGUUCUGAAAAGUUGUCUUUUUCCUGGGUAAAAAUCAAAGCCAAACAGCACUGGCAUUUCUGUGGCUGAGCACUGAGAGAGUUAUAGACCAAGCACACAUUGCCCAGUGGUGAAAAAGAAACCAGGGCAACACGACAUCAAGGUGGAGCUUGUUCUGUCCUCUGGACACCCGAGGCACGGGAUCCACCUUGGGAAGAACACUGGACACCACUGUGUAGGUGUUAUCAGACCAUUAGGGUUCUGGUCUAAAUUCACCACCAUCUCCUUUGCUGCUAAAACAACUCAGGAAGUUGAAAAGAAGCUUUGGAGAAGUGGAACAAGUAUAAAGACUGUGGUCCCAGGCUCAUGGGUUGGAGCAUCACAGUUUUGCCGGGGGGUGGUCAGAUUAGACCUGUGUGACAACAUUCCGUGACUCUAGGUCAAUUUGGUUAAGCUGCCCUCAGGUCACACAGUGUUGAAGAUGUGGGUGGUACCUUUCAGGCAUUGAGAGAUGAUGGCCAGGCCCAGCAAUACUUUUCUCUGUAUGUGUGGUAAAAUAUAUGUAACACAAAACUUACCCUUUUAUCCAAUUUUAAGUGUACAAUUCAGUGGCAUUACGGACAUUCACACUUUGUGCCAACAGUAGUAGAUUUUUAAGAGUGCCUACUGUGUACCAAGUAUUUUGUUAGGCACUUCUACAUACAAUGACUUAAUUCUCACC
RNAcentral lists this long non-coding RNA (2978 nucleotides) under Homo sapiens (human). RNAcentral describes it as "non-protein coding lnc-RPS27L-9:9". The record is from RNAcentral. Lineage: Eukaryota; Metazoa; Chordata; Mammalia; Primates; Hominidae.